RNAcentral lists this ribosomal RNA (279 nucleotides) under uncultured archaeon. Its description in RNAcentral is "partial 16S rRNA". It matches the Rfam family "Archaeal small subunit ribosomal RNA", at positions 1047 to 1325 of the family's 1478-position model. The record is from RNAcentral.
GAGACCCGUACCCACAGUUGCCAGCGGCUGCUCCGGCAGGCUGGGUACACUAUGGGGACCGCCUCUGCUAAAGAGGAGGAAGGAAUGGGCAACGGUAGGUCAGCAUGCCCCGAAUUACCCGGGCUACACGCGGGCUACAAUGGACAGGACAAUGGGAAUCGACACCGAGAGGUGAAGGCAAUCCCCUAAACCUGCCCUUAGUUCGGAUUGUGGGCUGCAACUCGCCCACAUGAAGCUGGAAUCCGUAGUAAUCGCGUUUCAACAUAGCGCGGUGAAUAC